GUCCGCAUAGCGUAGUGGUUUAUCGCGCCUGUCUUACACUAUCCUCAGGACAUGUAGGACACAGGAGGUCCCAGGUUCGAUCCCUGGUGCGAACA
Transfer RNA from Metarhizium acridum CQMa 102, 95 nucleotides. It matches the Rfam family "tRNA". Rfam says of the family: Transfer RNA (tRNA) molecules are approximately 80 nucleotides in length. Their secondary structure includes four short double-helical elements and three loops (D, anti-codon, and T loops). Further hydrogen bonds mediate the characteristic L-shaped molecular structure. tRNAs have two regions of fundamental functional importance: the anti-codon, which is responsible for specific mRNA codon recognition, and the 3' end, to which the tRNAs corresponding amino acid is attached (by aminoacyl-tRNA synthetases). tRNAs cope with the degeneracy of the genetic code in two manners: having more than one tRNA (with a specific anti-codon) for a particular amino acid; and 'wobble' base-pairing, i.e. permitting non-standard base-pairing at the 3rd anti-codon position. Lineage: Eukaryota; Fungi; Ascomycota; Sordariomycetes; Hypocreales; Clavicipitaceae. The record is from Rfam.